Molecule: long non-coding RNA, 523 nt
Organism: Nymphalis io (European peacock)
Lineage: Eukaryota; Metazoa; Arthropoda; Insecta; Lepidoptera; Nymphalidae
Exons: 3
Source: RefSeq, a predicted model, not a curated record
UUUUUAUAAACUUUAGCCUGCCCUUAGCGGCUAGCAUUUACGGCUGGAAAUCCACAUGUUAGAAUUCCGGGUCGGUGCAGUUAAAAGUCAUUCGUUUAUUUAUUUUGUUUUAGAAAUUCUCAUUACUUGUUUUACAGUCUCCUGCUUCGGAAAGCCGCAAUAGCGUCAUUUUAUCAUUCCGGGUCACCUUUUCAACGUGAAAUACGCCUGUUUACAAGCUGACGGGAAAUAUUAGACCCUAUUAGUACACGGCUCUUAAAAUACAUGUCAUAUAUCAGACGGACUCUGGAAUCCAUUUGUGUAUUCUUCUUACCUUACCUUUUUUAUUUACAAAUAUAAAAAAUAUAAUAAAUUUAAGUGGGUAUACGACGUCACUUAUUAGAAUAGCAACACCACACAACGUGAUGUAUGUCAUGUAGGUUGGUCGGUUGUCAGACGUCAAGUGUGAAAAAUAUAAGACGGGUGCCUAUUUUAUUAUGUAGCCGACUGAUGGAAAUAUUAAAUAUAAAGGAGUAUGUCAGUA